Molecule: non-coding RNA, 90 nt
Organism: Salmonella enterica subsp. enterica serovar Typhimurium
Lineage: Bacteria; Pseudomonadati; Pseudomonadota; Gammaproteobacteria; Enterobacterales; Enterobacteriaceae
Rfam family: CopA-like RNA
About the family: In several groups of bacterial plasmids, antisense RNAs regulate copy number through inhibition of replication initiator protein synthesis. These RNAs are characterised by a long hairpin structure interrupted by several unpaired residues or bulged loops.
Source: Rfam
AUAGCCUGAUUGGUGGCUAUACAGUUUAAGUAGGCCCCGUUAAUCUUUCGUUCCCGCCAAGAAAUGAGAAGAUUAUCGGGGUUUUUGCUU